GACGAGCGCUGGCGGCGUGCCUAAUACAUGCAAGUUGAGCGAUGAAGAUUGGUGCUUGCACCAAUUUGAAGAGCAGCGAACGGGUGAGUAACGCGUGGGGAAUCUGCCUUUGAGCGGGGGACAACAUUUGGAAACGAAUGCUAAUACCGCAUAACAACUUUAAACAUAAGUUUUAAGUUUGAAAGAUGCAAUUGCAUCACUCAAAGAUGAUCCCGCGUUGUAUUAGCUAGUUGGUGAGGUAAAGGCUCACCAAGGCGAUGAUACAUAGCCGACCUGAGAGGGUGAUCGGCCACAUUGGGACUGAGACACGGCCCAAACUCCUACGGGAGGCAGCAGUAGGGAAUCUUCGGCAAUGGACGAAAGUCUGACCGAGCAACGCCGCGUGAGUGAAGAAGGUUUUCGGAUCGUAAAACUCUGUUGGUAGAGAAGAACGUUGGUGAGAGUGGAAAGCUCAUCAAGUGACGGUAACUACCCAGAAAGGGACGGCUAACUACGUA
This 497-nucleotide ribosomal RNA is filed under the name uncultured bacterium. Its description in RNAcentral is "partial 16S ribosomal RNA". It matches the Rfam family "Bacterial small subunit ribosomal RNA", at positions 28 to 507 of the family's 1533-position model. The record is from RNAcentral.